CAGCCAAGUCAGAUAUGCUACUGUAAGUGUAAAAGACAAAAACCAAAAAAAAAAAAAGAUUCUAUUUGUUGUAGUUUGUAACAAAGAACAAAAGUGGGGAACUUUGUAGAGGGGAGC
RNAcentral lists this small RNA (117 nucleotides) under Arabidopsis thaliana (thale cress). Its description in RNAcentral is "ATSL016010". Lineage: Eukaryota; Viridiplantae; Streptophyta; Magnoliopsida; Brassicales; Brassicaceae. The record is from RNAcentral.